Molecule: ribosomal RNA, 253 nt
Filed under: uncultured bacterium
Lineage: Bacteria
Description: partial 16S ribosomal RNA
Rfam family: Bacterial small subunit ribosomal RNA
Source: RNAcentral
UACGGGGGGGGGUAAGCGUUGUUCGGAAUUACUGGGCGUAAAGGGCGCGUAGGCGGCCUGUUAAGUCGAACGUGAAAUCCCCGGGCUCAACCUGGGAACUGCAUCCGAGACUGCAUUGCUAGAGUAUGGGAGAGGAAAGCGGAAUUUCUGGUGUAGCAGUGAAAUGCGUAGAUAUCAGAAGGAACAUCAGUGGCGAAGGCGCUUUCUGGACCAAUACUGACGAUCAGGUGCGAAAGCGUGGGGAGCAAACAGG